Molecule: ribosomal RNA, 253 nt
Filed under: uncultured bacterium
Lineage: Bacteria
Description: partial 16S ribosomal RNA
Rfam family: Bacterial small subunit ribosomal RNA
Source: RNAcentral
UACAGAGGUCUCAAGCGUUGUUCGGAUUCAUUGGGCGUAAAGGGUGCGUAGGCGGCUCGUCGCGUCGACCGUGAAAACCCGCGGCUUAACUGCGGGCUUGCGGUUGAUACGGGCGGGCUAGAGUUCGGUAGGGGAGACUGGAAUUCCUGGUGUAGCGGUGAAAUGCGCAGAUAUCGGGAAGAACACCCGUGGCGAAGGCGGCUCUCUGGGACGGUACUGACGCUGAGACGCGAAAGCGUGGGGAGCGAACAGG